Molecule: ribosomal RNA, 362 nt
Filed under: uncultured bacterium
Lineage: Bacteria
Description: partial 16S ribosomal RNA
Rfam family: Bacterial small subunit ribosomal RNA
Source: RNAcentral
CCUACGGGAGGCUGCAGUAGGGAAUAUUGCUCAAUGGGGGAAACCCUGAAGCAGCAACGCCGCGUGGAGGAUGAAGGUUUUAGGAUUGUAAACUCCUUUUGUGAGAGAAGAUAAUGACGGUAGCUCACGAAUAAGCACCGGCUAACUCCGUGCCAGCAGCCGCGGUAAGACGGAGGGGGCAAGCGUUAGCCGGAAUCACUGGGCGGAAAGCGGGCGGAGGCGGGCUUUUACGUCAGAUGUGAAAUCCUGACGCUUACCUUCAGAACUGCAGGUGAAACGAUGAGUCUUGAGUGUGGGAGCGGUAGGUGUAGUUCGUGUUGUAGGGGUAAAAUCCGUAGAUAUCAAGAGGAAUACUCAUGGCG